UAAUACGUAGGGGGCAAGCGUUGUCCGGAAUUAUUGGGCGUAAAGCGCGCGCAGGCGGUCUUUUAAGUUCGGUGUUUAAACCCAGGGCUCAACCUUGGGUCGCACUGGAAACUGGGAGACUGGAGUGUAGGAGAGGAAAGUGGAAUUCCACGUGUAGCGGUGAAAUGCGUAGAGAUGUGGAGGAACACCAGUGGCGAAGGCGACUUUCUGGCCUAUAACUGACGCUGAGGCGCGAAAGCGUGGGGAGCAAACAGGAUUAGAUACCCUGGUAGUCCACGCCGUAAACGAUGCAUGCUAGGUGUUAGGGGUUUCGAUACCCUUGGUGCCGAAGUAAACACAUUAAGCAUGCCGCCUGGGGAGUACGCUCGCAAGAGUGAAACUCAAAUGAAUUGACGG
This 396-nucleotide ribosomal RNA is filed under the name uncultured bacterium. RNAcentral describes it as "bacterial SSU rRNA". It matches the Rfam family "Bacterial small subunit ribosomal RNA", at positions 521 to 916 of the family's 1533-position model. The record is from RNAcentral.